Brassica rapa (field mustard) is the source of this 1851-nucleotide RNA transcript. It is a transcript of the gene named OVARIAN TUMOR DOMAIN-containing deubiquitinating enzyme 12, with no coding region annotated. The record is from RefSeq and is a predicted model, not a curated record. Lineage: Eukaryota; Viridiplantae; Streptophyta; Magnoliopsida; Brassicales; Brassicaceae.
AAAAUUUUAAAACAUUAAUAAAUAUCAUAGGCUUUCAGUAUAGAGAGUAUUUACCGAAAAACAUUAACACAUAGAUUUUGAGAAAAAUUCAAAAUUAUGACAAUACUAUUUUAAUGCAUAAUUGCAUCAUGCACUAACAUAUGAUAUGAUGAAGGUCAAAGAGGUUUAUAACCUUUGUUGUCUCUCUUUUUCUAGAGAAUGACGAUUUUAUGUCGAUGAAUGUCAAUGAAGCUUUUCACCACCACUUUCUUUAAUCCCGCGACCAUUCCCACCACCAGUCCUCUAUCGUCACUGAGCCCAUCACUUCAGUGAUACAUCCAUUUGCGGAGCAUAUAGCAUACUUCAUUCUUUUCGCCAUACCGUUGUUGACAACGUUGUUAACGAGAACGGCAUCCAUAGCGUCGUUCGCCGGAUAUGUAAUGUACAUAGACUUCAUGAACAGCAAGCGACUUUUCCACCUCUUUCCUCCCCUCAAGUUCCUCUACUACCCUCCCUCGUAUGUCCUUACACUUCCUUCUUUCUAUACUGUCCCGAAGAUUAAACUCUUCCUGUGGAAGAUAAUGAAUCAAGCUCUUCCUGUUGGUUCUCAAUUGGCGCUGAGAAACAUUGGAGCCGCGCUAAAUUGUAAGAGAUGCGACAACCCUGAAUCUAUCAAUCAUCUUCUCUUCCACUGUGAGUUUUCCCAAAAGGUUUGGUCUCUAGCCCCCUAUACUCACAGCUUGGACUCUAGAGGACUGGUAGAUUUUGCAUCUUGUUGGGUUACAUUGUGCAAAUUGACAUGUCUCCCACCUGCGGGCAUUACCUUGGGACCGUUAGCUCCAUGGAUCUUAUGGGCCAUCUUCCUCGCAGGCUAAAUGUUUAUGGUUUGUGUGAGUUGAAGGUCUCUAGUGAUGGAAACUGCCAGUUCCGAGCUCUUUCUGACCAGUUGUACCGAUCUUCAGAGUACCACAAGCAAGUUAGGGGAGAAGUUGUUAAACAGCUCAAGGACAAUCGCACUAUAUACGAAAGUUAUGUUCUGAUGAAAUACAAACGGUAUUACAAGAGGAUGGCAAAACUUGGAGAAUGGGAGACCAUAUUACCCUACAAGCUGCGGCAGAUAGGGUAAUUUUCCUUUUUGUCUCAGUUUUCACAGCACUUGUAUUAAUAGUUAAAAUGUACCUAAAUGAUCUUUCCUUUGUUCUCGUAUCAUCUGCUCUAGUUCUGUUGAUGUUUUUUUCCCCUAUCUAGUCUUCUUCAUGUCCUUUGUUUCAUAUGCAUGUUACAUGAAAUAGGUAACACUUUAGCACAUCCUCGAGAAGGCAUGUAAAGUAAUCGCUGACUUUUGUGGCAUUAGGCACUGUUUUCUUUACCUUUUUCUUAACAAUUUUUUCCAUUGCAUCUCCCUUGAAUAGUUUGCAGCAAAGAUAUGCCUGCUGACAUCCUUCAGAGACACUUGCUUCAUUGAAAUUUUGCCUCAAGACCAAGCACCUAAGCGUGGUGAGACUCCAUAAUAUAUUUCUUUUCACCUUCACUCACCGCUACUUGAUCUUAAGUAGCAUAUGGAAAAUGCACUCUUACAAAGUUGUGGCUUUAUAUGUUUGGAAUUGUGCAUUAUAACUCUUUAUACGAUAAUCAAGCGGUUCCAGUUCAGCAGAAGCCAAAGAGAAAACAUUGGUUGUUCUAGAAAGCAAGCCUCUCACAUUGAUAACAUCUUCGAAUUUUAUUCUUUCAGUAUUGUGCAUAAGUCAACAGUUUCAGACGCCGUAACUCUUCCUUCAUACUUGUAUACACACGAACUUGCUUGAGCUAUAACAUUUUUAAGCCAAACAAAAUAUUACCCAACGAAUAUAUAUACACUUUUUAGUCUUGGUA